This 446-nucleotide ribosomal RNA is filed under the name uncultured bacterium. Its description in RNAcentral is "partial 16S ribosomal RNA". It matches the Rfam family "Bacterial small subunit ribosomal RNA", at positions 338 to 795 of the family's 1533-position model. The record is from RNAcentral.
CCUACGGGUGGCUGCAGUCGAGAAUCAUUCACAAUGGGCGAAACCCUGAUGGUGCAACGCCGCGUGAGGGAAUGAAGGUCUUCGGAUUGUAAACCCCUGUCAUGUGGGAGCAAAUUAAAAAGAUAAUACCACAGGAGAAAGCGACGGCUAACUCUGUGCCAGCAGCCGCGGAAAUACAAAGGUCUCAAGCGUUGUUCGGAAUCACUGGGCGUAAAGGGUGCGUAGGCUGUUGCGUAAGUCGUGUGUGAAAGGCGCGGGCUCAACCCGCGGACGGCACAUGAUCCUGCGAGACUAGAGGAAAGGAGGGGGAAGUGGAAUUCUUGGUGUAGCAGUGAAAUGCGUAGAUAUCGAGAGGAACACUCGUGGCGAAGGCGGGUUCCUGGACAUUAACUGACGCUGAGGCACGAAGGCCAGGGGAGCGAAAGGGAUUAGAUACCCUAGUAGUC